AUUUAAAUAGCCUAAUAAGGGCGCUACAUUGAAGGAGUAGAGGUGAACUUUCUUUGAAUA
RNAcentral lists this transfer RNA (60 nucleotides) under Gammarus fossarum. RNAcentral describes it as "tRNA-Phe". The record is from RNAcentral. Lineage: Eukaryota; Metazoa; Arthropoda; Malacostraca; Amphipoda; Gammaridae.